This 695-nucleotide ribosomal RNA is filed under the name uncultured bacterium. RNAcentral's name for it is "bacterial SSU rRNA". It matches the Rfam family "Bacterial small subunit ribosomal RNA", at positions 111 to 822 of the family's 1533-position model. The record is from RNAcentral.
UAACGCGUGAGUAACCUGCCUUCAAGAGGGGGAUAACAUUCUGAAAAGAAUGCUAAUACCGCAUGACAUAUCGGAACCACAUGGUUCUGAUAUCAAAGAUUUUAUCGCUUGAAGAUGGACUCGCGUCCGAUUAGUUAGUUGGUGAGGUAACGGCUCACCAAGACCGCGAUCGGUAGCCGGACUGAGAGGUUGAACGGCCACAUUGGGACUGAGACACGGCCCAGACUCCUACGGGAGGCAGCAGUGGGGGAUAUUGCGCAAUGGGGGCAACCCUGACGCAGCAACGCCGCGUGAAGGAUGAAGGUUUUCGGAUUGUAAACUUCUUUUAUUAAGGACGAAACUUGACGGUACUUAAUGAAUAAGCUCCGGCUAACUACGUGCCAGCAGCCGCGGUAAUACGUAGGGAGCAAGCGUUGUCCGGAUUUACUGGGUGUAAAGGGUGCGUAGGCGGCUUUGCAAGUCAGAUGUGAAAUCUAUGGGCUCAACCCAUAAACUGCAUUUGAAACUGUAGAGCUUGAGUGAAGUAGAGGCAGGCGGAAUUCCCCGUGUAGCGGUGAAAUGCGUAGAGAUGGGGAGGAACACCAGUGGCGAAGGCGGCCUGCUGGGCUUUAACUGACGCUGAGGCACGAAAGCGUGGGUAGCAAACAGGAUUAGAUACCCUGGUAGUCCACGCUGUAAACGAUGAUUACUAGGUG